RNAcentral lists this long non-coding RNA (1537 nucleotides) under Marmota monax (woodchuck). Lineage: Eukaryota; Metazoa; Chordata; Mammalia; Rodentia; Sciuridae. The record is from RNAcentral.
GGAACAGGGGGACAGCGUGGCUCAGGAGAACACUAAGGGAGUCCACAAGUUUCUGGCCAACUCUCAUGCAACAGAUUGAAAUGCAUUUCUUUGUUGGUCCAGGGCCGUUCUAGUCCUCAGGUCCACGGGGGGUCUUGUUUCCUUGAUUCAUGAGCUCAGUUUUAGGUUAGGUGUAUGAGGUGUGGCCGGCUCUGGGCACCCUUCACCAACCGGUGCCUGCACAGGAAUACAUUUUCCUGAUUCUCUUAGGGGCACGAUGAGUUGAAAAUCCCAGCCAGUCUCAAGGAGGGAAUUCUGGUCCUCUAGGACCAGAAACAGUAUCCAAGUGUCUGUUCCCAGGGAGAUCGGGCUUAAGGGCACCCUGAUUUUAAGUCUUAGCCCCAGAUCUUGGCUCCACUAUUGAAUGGUGCAUCGAAUCCUCAGUUUCCUUAUGUGUUUUGGUGCACUAGUGCAUGCAAUAGUGCACCCCAGGUCUCUGUCUCCUCGCAAAGGACCGAGCCCAGGGCAGCCAGCAGAUGGCGCUGCCAGUCCAUCUGCUCUUUUUAAGUCUUGUAGAAUUUUUGGGGUUUAGGGAAUAUUCCUCCAAAGAGUGAACCAACUCAAAAUGUGGGCCUCAGUGCACAGGAAAAGAGUAGGAAGGUCCUAAUGGGCUCUCAGAGGAAAGAGAGAGUGAGAAAACAGAAUGGGCACCCUUGCCACAUCCUAAAUCAGUUUUCCAUGCCGGUAGGCUGGCUUCAGGACUGGGAGUCCUGUCUGUUGCAGUGUUCUGGGUUCCAGGAUUAUGGAAUGGGGUGGGGAGAAGAGCUUUUGCAGGGCAGAGGACAUCUGCCAUGGCUUCCUCCCUUAGGUACCCUAUCAACUCUCUCUUGGCUCCUAGGACUGAUGGCAGGGAGGUACAAAACCUUGUGGAAUUCAGCAAAGGCAGCCAUAGGCAUGGGGCAGAAGUGACUGAAGUCCAGUCCUGUCCUCGGGACUCUGACAUCUGCUUCCUGGGCUUCAGCAGGGGAUGACCUCAGCCUUCAAGCCAGGUGUCUUUCCCAUCUUCCCACCAAGGUGAAAUGCACUGAUGACAUUGCACAAGAGCAUCCUGGGCUGGCCUCUGACUUCUCCAGUAGGGCCCUCCCAGGCCCUUUGUCAUUCACACACAGUCCUGGGCCUCAGUUUUGGUCUGUGGAACAGGAACGUAGGGUUAGAUAUGAGGUACCCCCCAAAAGCUCAUGUGUCAGACAGUAAAGAAAGUUUAGAGAUGAAAUGAUUGGGUUAUGACAGCCGUGACCUAAUCAGUGCAUUCAUCCACCUGAUGGAUCAGCGGGGUGGUAACUGUAGGCAGCUAGGUGUGGCUGGAGGAGGCAGGUCACAGGAGCGUGCCUUUGGGAGUUGUAUUUCUUCCCUGGUGAGCAGAGCUCUCGCUGCUUCCUGGUUCCAGGUCCUGAGCUGCUUUCCUCCUCCACGCCCUUCUGCCCAGAGCAUGGAGUCAGCUGUCUGUGGACUGAGACCUCUGAAACCAUGAUCCCCAAAUAAACUUUUCCUCCUUUAA